GUGGGGAAUAUUGGACAAUGGGCGCAAGCCUGAUCCAGCCAUGCCGCGUGUGUGAAGAAGGCCUUCGGGUUGUAAAGCACUUUUGUUGGGAAAGAAAUCCUGUCGGCUAAUACCCGGCGGGGAUGACGGUACCCAAAGAAUAAGCACCGGCUAACUUCGUGCCAGCAGCCGCGGUAAUACGAAGGGUGCAAGCGUUACUCGGAAUUACUGGGCGUAAAGCGUGCGUAGGUGGUUCGUUAAGUCAGAUGUGAAAGCCCCGGGCUCAACCUGGGAAUUGCAUUUGAGACUGGCGGACUAGAGUGCGGUAGAGGAGAGUGGAAUUCCCGGUGUAGCAGUGAAAUGCGUAGAGAUCGGGAGGAACAUCAGUUGCGAAGGCGGCUCUCUGGACCAGCACUGACACUGAGGCACGAAAGCGUGGGGAGCAAACAGGAUUAGAAACCCGUGUAGUCC
Molecule: ribosomal RNA, 450 nt
Filed under: uncultured bacterium
Lineage: Bacteria
Description: partial 16S ribosomal RNA
Rfam family: Bacterial small subunit ribosomal RNA
Source: RNAcentral